Mus caroli (Ryukyu mouse) is the source of this 884-nucleotide non-coding RNA. The record is from RefSeq and is a predicted model, not a curated record. Lineage: Eukaryota; Metazoa; Chordata; Mammalia; Rodentia; Muridae.
CUCUUGUUUAAGUAUUCAGUUGAAAUCCAUUUUCUUUUGCAAAAUCUACCAAAUCUUCCAUCCACUAUUUAUAAUAUAUUUUGCUUUCCCAGUCUUACGCACAAAGACUACUGGGUCCAUUUUAGGCUGCCUAGGACACUCAAGUACUUGAUAAAGGCCAAGGUGGCUUUGUGACGCAGUUAGAGCUGGGGGAAAGCUGAGGCGCGCGCUCUACCAGCCCUCUUCCGCUGGGGCCGUGGGAAUGGACACAUCUUUUUCCCACGUGCGAAAAGCCAGCCGGCCAUGACAACGAACACAUCCACCACCACAACCGCAACUGUGGCACGCUCUAUCUCCUCCUUUACGGACCCUCAUCAUUUCUCCUCCCACAACCACAUUAUAAAGAUGGCCUCGGCCAGUCAAGGGCACUUUGAUGCUUAUGAGGCACUGGAUCUUACAGAAUUUGCCAAAAAACAGCCUUGGUGGCGCAAGCUUUUCGGGCAGGAGAGUCGGUCUGCAGGUGAGAAGUACAGCGUGGCAACCCAGCUCCUUAUUGGAGGUGUCACUGGCUGGUGCACUGGCUUCAUAUUCCAGAAAGUUGGAAAGCUGGCUGCCACAGCAGUGGGAGGGGGCUUUUUUCUCCUCCAGCUUGCAAACCACACUGGCUACAUCAAAGUUGACUGGAGUCGAGUAGAGAAGGACAUGAAAAAAGCCAAGGAGCAGCUGACGAUUCGGAAGAGCGCCCAAAUACCAACUGAAGUCAAGAGCAAAGCUGAGGAGGUGGUGUGCUUUGUGAAGAAGAAUGUUUUAGUAACUGGAGGAUUUUUUGGAGGCUUUCUGCUCGGUAUGGCAUCCUAAGGGGUAUCGCUUCACUUCCACUGUUCACCAGCCUCAACACUCCAUCA